This is a long non-coding RNA of Sus scrofa (pig), 1022 nucleotides long. RefSeq lists it as uncharacterized. The record is from RefSeq and is a predicted model, not a curated record. Lineage: Eukaryota; Metazoa; Chordata; Mammalia; Artiodactyla; Suidae.
GAUCAUGAGUCCUCCAACUGGGCAUGCGCCUGAGUGGCCGUUUGGUGGACCUUUUGAAAGUGCAGAGCCAGUAGCUGUGUUAACGCCUGCGCAAAAAGAUAAUCACCGCACCUUUUGCCAAUCACCUUUCUCCCUGCUUCCCGUGCUCUCCACACACCAACCACGCUGCUCCUUUAUUGGGCGUCCCAUAAAUACUCCUAGUCCCCUCCCCUUGCCUUCAGGGAGGUGGUUUUGAGGCUUGUUCUGUCUCCUUGCUUGGCUGCCUUGUAAGUAAACCCUCACGUUGCUGCAAACCUCGAUGUUUUGGUAUCUCAGCUUGCUGUGUUCCACCAAGAGGAACCUGGUUUGGUAACACCAAGGGGUAAACUUAGAGCUUCCAUCUUGGUGUAGCCAGCAGUGCCUAAGUCUCACAACCUGAAGGUGUCAAGUUCUAGAAGAGUGAGAAGAGUAAGAAAGAGAAGAGAGAAAGGCAGCUAAAUCACUGAUUUGACCCCCAUCCCUGGAGCCUGUGCAAUCCAAGAGUGAAUAGCAAAUGCUCCCUCUAAGACACCUCUGAGGAUUGUUCAUGGAGAUACAGAAGGGUAUGCAGGGGAGAUGGAGACAAAAGCACCUUCUUGAUAAUAUUCACUCAAGAAUGAUGGUAAACCAUGAAAUGAAUGACAGACAAAAACUGUGUAAGUUGAGGCAUACAUUUUCACUCUAUUUUGGGUGCUGGUACUCUGACAAUGUAUUUUAAGCUCAGCGUUCACUUUUUUCCCCCUCUCAUUCAAUUGUGUGAAAGCCACUCUUCUCAAGACUGACGCUUUUCUGUAGUAAUAUUGUCUGUUUAGAUUUGAAGCCACUAGGGCCCUGGCACAUACAGCUGGAAUACUCUAUUUUUAAAGAUAUAUUGUGUCUGUUAAUACAAAGGUCAUGAUGCAGAUUUUUGCACUUAGAAUCAGCAUGAGAAUGUGGGACUGUUCUUGCAGAUCUUGGCUCCAUCAGCAAAUAAAUUAAAAUAAACUGGCGGCUUGAAAUAGAAA